Molecule: ribosomal RNA, 464 nt
Filed under: uncultured bacterium
Lineage: Bacteria
Description: partial 16S ribosomal RNA
Rfam family: Bacterial small subunit ribosomal RNA
Source: RNAcentral
GACGAACGCUGGCGGCGUGCUUAACACAUGCAAGUCGAACGGAAAGGCCCUGCUUGUUGGGUGUUCGAGUGGCGAACGCGUGUGUAACACGCGGGUGUUCUCCCCCUUACACUUUGAUAUACCUUGGAAACUCUGUCUAUUACCCGAGAUGACAACCCCUUAUUCUUGGCUGUGGUAAGUUUUUUCGGUUAGGGAUGGGCUCGCGGCCUGUCAGCUUGUUGGUGGGGUAGUGGCCUACCAAGGCGUCGACGGGUAGCCGGCCUGAGAGGGUGGACGGCCACAUUGGGACUGAGAUACGGCCCAGACUCCUACGGGAGGCAGCAGUGGGGAAUAUUGCACAAUGGGCGGAAGCCUGAUGCAGCGACGCCGCGUGGGGGAUGACGGCCUUCGGGUUGUAAACCGCUUUCGCCAGGGACGAAGCGUUGGUGACGGUAACGGGAUAAGAAGCACCGGCUAACUACGUG